UACGAAGGGGGCUAGCGUUGCUCGGAAUCACUGGGCGUAAAGGGUGCGUAGGCGGGUCUUUAAGUCAGGGGUGAAAUCCUGGAGCUCAACUCCAGAACUGCCUUUGAUACUGGCGAUCUUGAGUCCGGGAGAGGUGAGUGGAACUGCGAGUGUAGAGGUGAAAUUCGUAAAUAUUCGCAAGAACACCAGUGGCGAAGGCGGCUCACUGGCCCGGUACUGACGCUGAGGUGCGAAAGCGUGGGGAGCAAACAGG
This 253-nucleotide ribosomal RNA is filed under the name uncultured bacterium. RNAcentral's name for it is "partial 16S ribosomal RNA". It matches the Rfam family "Bacterial small subunit ribosomal RNA", at positions 524 to 776 of the family's 1533-position model. The record is from RNAcentral.